This 65-nucleotide transfer RNA is filed under the name Pyrocoelia rufa. Its description in RNAcentral is "tRNA-His". Lineage: Eukaryota; Metazoa; Arthropoda; Insecta; Coleoptera; Lampyridae. The record is from RNAcentral.
AUUUAAAUAGUUUAAUUUAAAAUUAUGAUUUGUGGGAUCAUGGAUAUACUUAUAUAUUUUAAAUA